GAUGAAGAACGCAGCAAAAUGCGAUAAGUAAUGUGAAUUGCAGAAUUCAGUGAAUCAUCGAAUCUUUGAACGCACAUUGCGCCCGCUGUUAUUCCGGCGGGCAUGCCUGUUCGAGCGUCAUUUCAACCCUCAAGCCCCCGGGUUUGGUGUUGGGGAUCGGCUCUGCCCUUCUGGGCGGUGCCGCCCCCGAAAUACAUUGGCGGUCUCGCUGCAGCCUCCAUUGCGUAGUAGCUAACACCUCGCAACUGGAACGCGUCGCGGCCAUGCCGUAAAACCCCAACUUCUGAAUGUUGACCUCGGAUCAGGUAGGAAUACCCGCUGAACGUAAGCAUAUCAAUAAGCGGAGGA
RNAcentral lists this unclassified non-coding RNA (348 nucleotides) under soil metagenome. RNAcentral's name for it is "partial contains 5.8S ribosomal RNA, internal transcribed spacer 2, and large subunit ribosomal RNA". The stretch from base 1 to 120 matches the Rfam family "5.8S ribosomal RNA", at positions 35 to 154 of the family's 154-position model. The record is from RNAcentral.